This 305-nucleotide ribosomal RNA is filed under the name uncultured bacterium. RNAcentral's name for it is "bacterial SSU rRNA". It matches the Rfam family "Bacterial small subunit ribosomal RNA", at positions 336 to 656 of the family's 1533-position model. The record is from RNAcentral.
UUCCUACGGGACGCAGCAGUGGGGAAUAUUGGGCAAUGGGCGCAAGCCUGACCCAGCAACGCCGCGUGAAGGAAGAAGGCCCUCGGGUUGUAAACUUCUUUUAUUCGGGACGAAACAAAUGACGGUACCGAAUGAAUAAGCCACGGCUAACUACGUGCCAGCAGCCGCGGUAAUACGGAGGAUGCGAGCGUUAUCCGGAUUUAUUGGGUUUAAAGGGUGCGUAGGCGGGAUGCCAAGUCAGCGGUCAAAUACGGGGGCUCAACCUGCGUCCGCCGUUGAAACUGGCGUUCUUGAGUGGGCGAGAA